Molecule: long non-coding RNA, 662 nt
Organism: Malania oleifera
Lineage: Eukaryota; Viridiplantae; Streptophyta; Magnoliopsida; Santalales; Ximeniaceae
Exons: 2
Source: RefSeq, a predicted model, not a curated record
CUUCCUCCCUUUCUAAUCUCCAUGACUCCACUCUUUCAUCCGUCCUCCCUUCCCUUCCACAACCAGCAGCGCCAAGACCCCUCCGGCCUCCAUGUCGCCUCCACGCCGCCGCACAAUCGGUAGUCCCAAUACCCCUCCGCCCUCCACGUUGCAUUCAGCCGCUACACAGCCGGUAGCCCCAAGGAUGUAAGGCCCCCACCAAACGCAGUCGUAGCCAACCCCCUCCACUUUGCUAGUCGCAGUCAAAUGCCUCCACUUCGCCACACAUAGUCGCACGCCGUGCUCUUCAGGUUUGUUUGAGCAAGGGACUUCAUCUUCUGGACCUAUUGAAAAUGAUGGAAUUGAGAAUUUGUAUGAUAAUGAAGAAAAUCAAGAUCAAGGUGGUGGUAGGGAGAACGAAGGUCCUCAUGAGGGAACAAGUGGUGUGGAUGAACCAUUACUUCGAUUCACGCCUACUUUUAGUCUGUGAAUGGACUCUACAAAGUAUUAAAUAUAAGAUUGUAAUUCUAGGGGGCUUGAAGCCUUUAACUCUUGGGUUGUAAACUUGUAAUGUUGUAGUGUUUGUUUGACUAUUUUGUGUUACAAUAUUUAAUGCUUAUUUGAAGUUUGAAGUAUUGAACUUUGAGUUUGAUGAUGAAAAGCAUAGACUUUAUUGUGCAUUA